Cordylochernes scorpioides is the source of this 6894-nucleotide non-coding RNA. The record is from the annotation of a GenBank genome assembly. NCBI's taxonomy places the organism in Eukaryota, Metazoa, Arthropoda, Arachnida, Pseudoscorpiones, Chernetidae.
UUGAUACUGAAUUCUGAAUUUCAACAGAGGAUUCUUCAUCUCCUGAUGAUGAAUUUGUUUCUUCUUCUGCAGGAAAUGAAGUAAAGAGGGAAUCUUCCAGAGUUUGUAGCAAGGUGGUCCACCGUCCUCUGUACCACAGUGAGGGCAUUGCAGGUUUUUAUCUUUCGGGAGAAUCUUUUGGUAGAAUGUUUUGAUGCCGUAUGGCUUCAGUAGUGAAGCUAUAGCGACUGAUUGUGGACUAUAGGGGAGAGUGCAGUGACUUAUGUUAAUUUGUGCUGGUUUUGUGUAAUUUGGGUUAUAAAAGUGUCUGUUGAUGAAUGAAAUAGGGUAAUUGGCAUUUGUCAAAUGGGCUAUUUGAUAUCUCAAUGUUUUGGAAUAUGUUAAGUGAACAAUGUGUGAAGAUCCGCUUGGUAAGGGUCUUCGCUAAGCUUAUUUUAUGGGUAAUGGGGCAGUGGGAGCUAUAAUGUGUGUAGUGUGGGGGGUGAGUUGUUCUUAUAGUAAACGGUAGUGUGAAAGAAAUUAUUGGUACGGAUUCGUUCGUUUUAUUUAAUUCAAAUAUCUGAUUUAAAAUAAAAUAAAAUAAACAUAUAAAUAACAAUCAUCUAAGAGGUUCUAAACUGAGUAUAUACAUCUGGUAAGUCAAUUUUUCUAUUAAUACUAUUUUUAUUUUCUCCUGAGCUCCAGCUUUCUAAAUAUAAUCGGCAAUGUUCUUCUAUGAUAUUUUGAUGUAUUAUAGAUGUGUGAUCGAAGUCUGGAGUAUGACUAUUGUUGAAUGCAUGAUCUACCAGUAGGGAUGUCGGACUAUGGUGCUUUAGUGCGGAUUUGUGUUGGUUAAUUCUUUCAGAUAAAGAUUUGCUGGUUUCUCCUAUGUAUAUUGCCUGACAGGAUUUACAUGGUAUUUUAUAAAUUACAUUGACUCUAUCUUCUGGCUUGUAGAUUUGUUUUGUAUCAGGGUGACGGAAGAUGCUUCUUUAAUUUUGGUUGGGUUGAUAUCUUGAGUUGAGUUUUUUUAAACUUCUGGCUAUUCAUUCACAACCAUAGGUGUAAGGUAAGGAGCAAAAUAUGUUCGGGGUUAAGACCUGUCUAUUGUUCGUGGAUGGAAUUUUUGGUAUAUAUAAUUGCUUUUUUAUAUUAUUCCAAAUGAAGAGCACCUCGUCGCUGGCCUGAUGGGGCAGGUUCUUCCCUAGCUUCCUUAACAGCAGGUCUGCUUCUUCAAUGGAGAAAGGGUCGCAGUGGUACAGGCCUGGGUGAGGAUGGUGGCAUCGGGAUUCACCCGUCUCAGUUCCUGGUAGCUAGCUGUCUGGAGCAGUUUUUCCCAUCUUGAGAAGGCAUACUGCAUUAGAAGAGAUGGGUUCUUCCAACUGGGCUCUGCCCUUGGAGAUCUAGGUUGAAUUCAAUGUUAUCACCAACUAUGUGUUUAUUUGGAUCAUUUUGGUGCAGCCUGAGGAGUGUUGAUCCAGUAUCUCCUGCAUGGUACGCUUCUUGUUGAUGUUGUAGGAUCUACUAGGAGUAGAUAUAAAUGGAUUUAUUUUAAAGUUUACAAUUUAAAACAAAAUUAAAAAGAAAGAGAAAGUAAAAAGUCUUAUUCUUCGGUUGUCAUCGUAAACGCUCUUCUUGAUUCCGUGUUGCCAGCUUCUUCCUAAUCAAAUCCUACAUAUAUAUAUAUUUAAUUAUCGUCUAUCAAACCUCCCUUUAAUUAAAAAUUCAGUCCUGUGUGAAGUCCAUUCCCAGCAUCUUGGUCUGGUUAUUUAGGCGGAGACCGGAGAGGUUCUUGGUUAACAGGUCCUGUUGUUCUGUUCUCACAUAGAUUGGUUGGAUUGUUUUCUUCACAUUAGGAUUGUCAUCAAUAACUUGUGAUCUAGGAAGAUGUAUAUAGGCUGAAGUCCUCUCCGCAUACAGAUCUUGAAGAGCUUGUGUGAUAUAUUGGAUUCCUCCCGUUUAAUCUGCCUAAUUGCUUGAGCCACACCUGCAUCUAGUUCCGUAUGCUCUGAUUUGGAUAUAUAUUUUGCUAUGUAAAAUGUGAUGGCAUCAUUUGAUCCGUAUGGUCGAAUAUCCAUAUUUCCUUUCCAUAAUCCUAAGAGUGUUGGAUUAUAGUUGUUAACCCAUCGGUCCUCCUGGUGACGCUUGAGUAAACUUAGUCUUCCACCGUUCCGUACGAAAUCAAGUGAUGAAUGUGCUACGAUUCGGGUUUCCGCACACUCCUGACGUGGGAAGCUGAACCUACAUGUUGGUGAAUCAUUUUUCGUACAAGAAGUAGUGUGAUGAUGAAUUUGACACUUCUUGAUUUAGCUCAUGAAUCUCUGAAUCUUCGGAUGAUAUUUUGCAUGAGCAUACACGAUCGAAUGAUGGAUUGUUUUCUAACCAAACCACUAUAUGUAGAUGUGGACUACCUCUGUUUUGAAACUCGAUACGCCACCAGUAGUCGUUCACUCGUCCGCCAAACACCUCCUGGUUGCUUAGGAUAAAUUUCAUCAACGUAUUUACGCAAAUUGCAAAAUGACGGCUUACAAUCACUGAAUUGUUCGAUUAGUUUUUGCGUCGCUUGCAAGUCAAGUGCAGCAGGAUUUGUGUUGAUUUAUAAGAUCUUUGAGUGGUUUGCUGGUUUCCCCUAUAUAAUUAGCUUGGAAAUUGUUACAAGGUAUUCGGUAAAUUACAUUGAUUUUGUUUUCCAUUUUGUUAAUUUGCUCAGUGUCUGGAUGGCGUAGGGCCUUUUUUAUAUUUAAAGAUGAUUGAUAGGUGGUUGUGAUUUUGUAUCUCUUUAGGACUCUGGCGAUACGUUCAGAGCCGUAGCUGUAGGGGAGGGAGCAGUAAAGCUUUUUUGAUUGAUCAGGUGUGUUAUUUAAUGGUGGAGAUUUGGUUUGAAAAAUGUUUUUCGAUAAAUUUGCUUGGGUAAUUGUUGUUUUUUAAUUUUCUGAAGAUUCUAUUUCUUGUAGUUGUUAGCCGCCCAAUCAAGGGACAAGGAAGCAGAGUCUGUACCAACUGUGUAAGCUAUAGAGGGUGGAGGUGGUGAAAGCAUAAAAUCUCAUGGUGACAGGUCGGGUUUGGGGCUAGCAUCAUUUUCUGAAGAUUCUAUUUCUCUUCAUUAUUUCAUGAGCAAUGUGUUUCUAAUCUUUUGGAGAGAGCUUUAACCACAGCGUUUUUAUGAUGUACUGGUCCAAUAAUUGAAAAAUAAAUAAUUUCCUGUGUGUGUGCUAAAAAAAGAUCUUUAUUAAGUCAAAAAUGUCCUUACAGCUCUAUUGUUAGUGGGGAAGGGGUACAAUUGAUAUCGAUAUCUAUAAAAUAUUUGUAGAUUUCGUAUUUAAAAUAUGACAUACUUGUUGCGGUCGAGAACGUAGUUGGCUGGACUGAAGCUAAAACCCAGGUUGACGAUCAGGCAUGUUUCUGUAUGGUGUUAUGCUUUGUUAUAAAAAAGGAACUUUAAGGAUUUAUAUCGCUUAGUUUUAUUUAUUUAACUAUUUACAAGGCAAUAUUAUCUAACUUAUAACAAUCACAGCUAUGCCGGAACUUCCGCCAGCCUAAGGUAAACAGUAAUGAUGGGUUGUCAGAUGGUAACUUAUUCUCAACACAUCUCCCCCUUUUCUUCUAGAGGUUUAGCCUGUCUGGCGGCUUUAUCACGCCUCCACUCCUGGUCUUUACUGGUUCCGGUGAUCUCUGGAAUGUCCUCGGUUCACUGUCACAAGUAGUGUUGUCCCAAGUAGAUGUGAAGCACUGACUCAUCUCAGGAGACUCUUCAUCUUCCAUGUCAAUCUUUUCACCCGUUCACCUUAAAAACAAAAUCAGUAAUGAUGAUGAUCAUUCGUCUGUUCACAUUCUAAGUAUCAAUGCUCUUUAUCUAAAUAUAAAUGAUAAAUAAUUAUUAUUUUCUAUUUCAUGCGUAAAUUUUAAAAAUGAUCUUAAAUUAUUCAAAUAUUUUAAAAUUACAGAAAUAUCUGAUUCUGUUAUACAAAAAAAUGUCAUCUAUGUACCUCUUCCAAAAAAAUAAUUUUGAGUUGCUUUGAUUCAGUGACAACUCAAUCAAUUUGGUCCAUGAAAAUGUUCGCUAAUGGCGAUGAGAUAGGGUUUCCCAUCGGUAAGCCUUUGAUUUGUCUGUAGAAUUUAUCUUUGUGUCUGAAAUAAUUGUGUUCUAAACAAAGAGUUUAAUUAAACAAUUAAAACCUCUUUGGAGAAAGAAAUAACAAGAUUUUGAUGGGUUUCUAUAACUUUUUGGAGUGCUAGAAUAGCUUCAUUGUGUGGGAUUGAAGUGUAGAGUGAUUCAAUGUCGAAAGAUACCAUACGGCUGUUAUUAGAAGUUGAAAGGUCUCUGAUUGUUUCUGCAGCUACUGUAGAAUUUGGGACAGUGUGGGGAAGUAAUUUCUGGAGGGGAGAGAUGAUAGUGAGGGGGUAAACCAGCAUAAGAAACAAUAGGAUGCAACAAUAUGUUUGGCUUAUGUACUUUUAUGGGCCAUAAGAGUUUGGUAAAUUCUUGCUUUCGGCCUUUAAAUUUUCAAAUGUUUUUUCUCUAGUUUUUAUAUACACCAUUUUGUCAAGUUUUAUUAUUUAAAUUCUUUAGUGCAAUUUGUUAAUAGAUUUCUUGAAGUAAACCUUCUACCUUAGUAUUGUAAUCUGUAGUGUUCAUAAUUACUGUGUUUUGCCCACAAAUAUCAUUUUAGAAGGAGGAGGAGAGCCAAAAAGUUCAGAGAGAGAGUAUUUGGUGGUAGGAUGGAUGUUACUGAAACACCGGAGACCAUGUUGGGGUUCAUGGUAUCAUUCUGUUUAGGGUUCUUCAUGGACACAUGGCCAACUGUGUUUGUCAAUCUUUAAAACAAGAUUCGAAUCACUGGACGGUGUAACCAGCAUAAGUAAAACUAUUGCAACUCAAUGAUUGUUGGGAAGAAAGAAAAUUUAUUGUAAUUAAUACAAAAAAUUAAGAUCUUUAAUGGUGUGUAAAUGUCUGGUAAAUCAAUUUUCCUAUUUAUACUUUCUUUGUCUUCUGCAGAGGCCCAGCUUGCUAAGAAUAAUCGGCAGUGUUUUUCCUUAAUGUUCUGGUAUAAAAUAGCUGUAUUUUCAAAGUCCGGAGUGUGUUGUCGUAGAGUACAUGAUCUACAAGGAGAGACUGGGUUAGAAUUUCUUAAUAAUUAUUUGUGUUGAUUUAUUGUUGUUCAGUGCAUGAUCAACACGGAGAGACAGUGGGUUAUAAUUUCUUAAUCCUGAUUUGUGUUGAUUUAAACAAUCUUUGAGUGGUUUGCUGGUUUCCCCUAUAUAAUUAGCUGCAAAUUGUUACAAGGUAUUCUGUAAAUUACAUUGAUUUUGUUUUUCAUUUUGGUAAUUUGUUUAGUGUCUGGAUGGUGUAGGGCCUUAUUAAAGAUCUAAAUGGUGUGUAAAUGUCUGGUAAAUCAAUUUUCCUAUUUAUCCUUUCUUUGUCUUCUGCAGAGGCCUAGCUUUCUAAGAACAAUCAGCACUGUUUUUCCUCCAGUUCUCUAGGUCCUUGGCGUCCCCUUUCUUGUGGAGCAAGAUAGAGGAGCUUUCCUUCCACGAAGGGGGUGCCGCACUCAUCUGAAAGCAGGCCUGGAAGAUCUGGGUGAGGAUGGUGGCAUUGGGAUCCACCCAUUUCAGUUCCUGGUAGCUGUCUUGUAGCCUCCCCAUCUUGAAAAAGCAUACUGCGUUGGAAGAGAUGGGUUCUUUCAACUUGGGUUCCGUCCUUGAGAGUGAAGUCUUUGAGGAGAUCUGGGUCAGGGCUGAAUUCGGUGUUGUCCCCAACCAUGCAUUUUUCAAAAUGCUUCUCGAUUAUCUGGAUGGGGAUGGUGCAGCCUGGGGAGCGUUGGCCCAAUAUCUUCUCAAAUAUCGAAGCUGGGUACAGAUGGUCUGGUACUCCGAGGUUUUUGCGGUGGUGGUGCCCUACAUUUUGUCCUUGUGUUAGGUUUCCCAGUCUCAUUUUCACUUCUUUGAUUAAGUUCUCAAUGAGACAGAAGAGCAGUUCUUUGUGGUUUACAGCUGUAUCUGUAUCAUCCCACUCUUCCUGGAAGGGAGUGAGGGAUGUUCGGUGAGAGCGCUGCUGGAGUUCAUCAGGCUGGAGGAGGGGUGACCUUGUGGCUAGAGGGCAGUCGUUAGGUGGAGUGGCUGUGUUUGAAGAACCUCGCUAUCACAAACUUGUGGCGUUUGCACGUUGGGAGGGUCGUUAUCCACGACCGGCAGUUUGUCUGCAGCUUCCUCCUGUUGGAUCAGGGAAUGACGGCAGUGCAGGGUUGGAUGCUGGAGGACUGGUGGGGCGCGUUUCUUCAGAGAAGGUAUCUCUUUGAGCUUCCUCGGCAGAGUUCUCUGAUAAGGGUGAGACAAAAAUUAUUCGGCCCGCUUCGCAGGUAGCCAUACUUGUUAAGUGCACCUCUGGUCUGAAGGGUGUAGCCUUGGCGGAGAUGUCGCUUGUGGGAGGGACGUUUUGUUGUUCCAGUUCCACAGGCCAUCCUGUCGGUGUCUCAGAAGUUGGUUCAUGGGCUGCUGGCUGCCUUGCAGGCUCGGACCUUCUCUCCAACCUUCUGCCUGCAGGAGAAGAAUUGGCUCAGCAUCUCUCUGGUGGAGAUUUUUUUUUUAAACCUUCUUCCCAGGCUCUCCUUCAACUCGUUAUACCCCAACCGAGUCUGUUGAGACUGGAGGGCAAACUCCCUUGCAGCUCCUCUGAGGUGAUUAUCCAGGAGGAUCCUCUUCCUGGCAUCGACCAAUGGUCAUAGACCAGCUCGAAAUCUUUGAUGAAUUUUUCGAAAGGGACUAUGCCUUCCCCUUCAAGUGGUACAGCAUGGAGGGUAGCUGUACUUGGCUGGUGGGGGUGUUGUCGCUCUCAGUAGUCUUAGCAUUUAUCCCGGGACAUAGAAAUAGGGAAAUCAUACCUACAGAGAUGGGCAACUAGGGAAUAUCAAGAUAUGC